Molecule: transfer RNA, 72 nt
Filed under: marine sediment metagenome
Description: tRNA-Val
Rfam family: tRNA
About the family: Transfer RNA (tRNA) molecules are approximately 80 nucleotides in length. Their secondary structure includes four short double-helical elements and three loops (D, anti-codon, and T loops).
Source: RNAcentral
GCACCUAUAGUUCAGCGGGAGAACGCUGGUCCUACAAACCAGAUGUCCCUGGUUCGAUCCCAGGUAGGUGCA